Molecule: ribosomal RNA, 483 nt
Filed under: uncultured bacterium
Lineage: Bacteria
Description: partial 16S ribosomal RNA
Rfam family: Bacterial small subunit ribosomal RNA
Source: RNAcentral
GACGAACGCUGGCGGCGUGCUUAACACAUGCAAGUCGAACGAUGAAGCUGGAGCUUGCUCCGGUGGAUUAGUGGCGAACGGGUGAGUAACACGUGAGCAAUCUGCCCUUGACUCUAGGAUAACUGCGGGAAACUGUAGCUAAUACCGGAUACGAGAUUUGGAGGCAUCUCCGGAUCUGGAAAGAAUUUCGGUCAAGGAUGAGCUCGCGGCCUAUCAGCUUGUUGGUGAGGUAAUGGCUCACCAAGGCGACGACGGGUAGCCGGCCUGAGAGGGUGACCGGCCACACUGGGACUGAGACACGGCCCAGACUCCUACGGGAGGCAGCAGUGGGGAAUAUUGCACAAUGGGCGAAAGCCUGAUGCAGCAACGCCGCGUGAGGGAUGAAGGCCUUCGGGUUGUAAACCUCUUUUAGUAGGGAAGAAGCGAAAGUGACGAUACCUACAGAAAAAGCACCGGCUAACUACGUGCCAGCCGCCGCCGUAA